GACGUAGGGUCCAAGCGUUGUCCGGAUUUACUGGGCGUAAAGAGCGCGUAGGCGGCUUGUUAAGUGUGAAGUGAAAUCUCCAGGGCUCAACCCGGAAACUGCUUUACAUACUGGCAAGCUGGAGUGAUGAAGAGGUUUGUGGAAUUCCUGGUGUAGCGGUGAAAUGCGUUGAUAUCAGGAGGAACACCCAUGGCGAAGGCAGCAAACUGGUCAUCAACUGACGCUGAGGCGCGAAAGCGUGGGUAGCAAACAGG
This 254-nucleotide ribosomal RNA is filed under the name uncultured Armatimonadota bacterium. Its description in RNAcentral is "uncultured Armatimonadetes bacterium partial 16S ribosomal RNA". It matches the Rfam family "Bacterial small subunit ribosomal RNA", at positions 524 to 776 of the family's 1533-position model. Lineage: Bacteria; Bacillati; Armatimonadota. The record is from RNAcentral.